Molecule: ribosomal RNA, 497 nt
Filed under: uncultured bacterium
Lineage: Bacteria
Description: partial 16S ribosomal RNA
Rfam family: Bacterial small subunit ribosomal RNA
Source: RNAcentral
GAUGAACGCUGGCGGCGUGCCGAAUACAUGUGAGUCGGGCGAACGGACGAGAAGCUUGCUUUUCUGAUGUUAGCGGCGGACGGGUGAUUAACACGUGGAUAACCUACGUAUAAGACUGGGAUAACUUCGGGAAACCGGAGCUAAUAGCGGAUAAUGUUUUGAACGGCAUGGUUCAAGAGUGAAAGACGGUCUUGCUGUCACUUAUAGAUGGAUCCGCGCUGCAUUAGCUAGUUGGUAAGGUAACGGCUUACCAAGGCAACGAUGCAUAGCCGACCUGAGAGGGUGCCAGGCCACCCUGGAACUGAGAAAAGGUUCAGACUCCUACGGGAGGCAGCAGUAGGGAAUCUUCCGCCAUGGGCGCAAGCCCGACGGAGCAACGCCGCGUGAGUCAUGAAGGUCCUCGGCUCGUAACACUCUGUUAUCCGGGACGAACAUAUGUGUAAGUACCUGUGCACAUCUUGACGGUCCCUAAUCAGAAAGCCAGGGCUACCUACGUG